CCCUUCGGGGGAAAGAAUUUCGGUGAGGGAUCGGCCCGCGUUAGAUUAGUUAGUUGGUGGGGUAAUGGCCUACCAAGACUACGAUCUAUAGCUGGUUUGAGAGGAUGAUCAGCAACACUGGGACUGAGACACGGCCCAGACUCCUACGGGAGGCAGCAGUGGGGAAUCUUAGACAAUGGGGGCAACCCUGAUCUAGCGAUGCCGCGUGAGUGAUGAAGGCCUUAGGGUCGUAAAGCUCUUUCGCCUGUGAUGAUAAUGACAGUAGCAGGUAAAGAAACCCCGGCUAACUCCGUGCCAGCAGCCGCGGUAAUACGGAGGGGGUUAGCGUUGUUCGGAAUUACUGGGCGUAAAGCGCACGUAGGCGGAUUAGUCAGUCAGAGGUGAAAUCCCAGGGCUCAACCCUGGAACUGCCUUUGAUACUGCUAGUCUUGAGUUCGAGAGAGGUAAGUGGAAUUCC
This 457-nucleotide ribosomal RNA is filed under the name Celeribacter halophilus. RNAcentral describes it as "bacterial SSU rRNA". It matches the Rfam family "Bacterial small subunit ribosomal RNA", at positions 192 to 670 of the family's 1533-position model. The record is from RNAcentral. Lineage: Bacteria; Pseudomonadati; Pseudomonadota; Alphaproteobacteria; Rhodobacterales; Roseobacteraceae.